UACGUAGGUCGCAAGCGUUGUCCGGAUUUACUGGGCGUAAAGAGCGCGCAGGCGGCUGGUCAAGUCCGAUGUGAAAUCUCCCGGCUCAACUGGGAAACUGCAUCGGAAACUGAUCGGCUUGAAGAUGGGAGAGGGUAGUGGAAUUCCCGGUGUAGUGGUGAAAUGCGUAGAUAUCGGGAGGAACACCAGUGGCGAAGGCGACUACCUGGCCCAUUCCUGACGCUGAGGCGCGAAAGCUAGGGGAGCGAACGGG
This 253-nucleotide ribosomal RNA is filed under the name uncultured bacterium. Its description in RNAcentral is "partial 16S ribosomal RNA". It matches the Rfam family "Bacterial small subunit ribosomal RNA", at positions 524 to 776 of the family's 1533-position model. The record is from RNAcentral.